This 304-nucleotide ribosomal RNA is filed under the name uncultured Flavobacterium sp. Its description in RNAcentral is "bacterial SSU rRNA". It matches the Rfam family "Bacterial small subunit ribosomal RNA", at positions 1 to 311 of the family's 1533-position model. Lineage: Bacteria; Pseudomonadati; Bacteroidota; Flavobacteriia; Flavobacteriales; Flavobacteriaceae. The record is from RNAcentral.
GUCAGAGUUUAUCCUGGCUCAGGAUGAACGCUAGCGGCAGGCUUAACACAUGCAAGUCGAGGGGUAUAGUUCUUCGGAGCUAGAGACCGGCGCACGGGUGCGUAACGCGUAUGCAAUCUACCUUUUACAGAGGGAUAGCCCAGAGAAAUUUGGAUUAAUACCUCAUAGUAUGUGAGAAUCGCAUGGUUUUUCACAUUAAAGUUCCAACGGUAAAAGAUGAGCAUGCGUCCCAUUAGCUAGAUGGUAAGGUAACGGCUUACCAUGGCAACGAUGGGUAGGGGUCCUGAGAGGGAGAUCCCCCGAC